CACGCCGUAAACGAUGAGUACUAAGUGCUGGAGGAUUCAGUGCUGAAGCUAACGUAAUAAGUACUCCGCCUGAGUAGUACGUACGCAAGUAUGAAACUCAAAGGAAUUGACGGGACCCCGCACAAGCGGUGGAUCAUGUUGUUUAAUUCGAGGAUACGCGAAGAACCUUACCAGGCCUUGACAUACCUUGCAAAGCUAUGGAGACAUAGUGGAGGAUAACAGGGAUACAGGUGG
RNAcentral lists this ribosomal RNA (234 nucleotides) under uncultured Acholeplasma sp. Its description in RNAcentral is "partial 16S ribosomal RNA". It matches the Rfam family "Bacterial small subunit ribosomal RNA", at positions 796 to 1041 of the family's 1533-position model. The record is from RNAcentral. Lineage: Bacteria; Bacillati; Mycoplasmatota; Mollicutes; Acholeplasmatales; Acholeplasmataceae.